RNAcentral lists this ribosomal RNA (253 nucleotides) under uncultured bacterium. RNAcentral describes it as "partial 16S ribosomal RNA". It matches the Rfam family "Bacterial small subunit ribosomal RNA", at positions 524 to 776 of the family's 1533-position model. The record is from RNAcentral.
UACGAAGGGUGCAAGCGUUACUCGGAAUUACUGGGCGUAAAGCGUGCGUAGGUGGUGAGUUAAGUCUGAUGUGAAAGCCCACGGCUCAACCGUGGAGGGUCAUUGGAAGCUGGGGGACUUGAGUACAGAAGAGAAGAGUGGAAUUCCACGUGUAGCGGUGAAAUGCGUAGAGAUGUGGAGGAACACCGGUGGCGAAGGCGGGUCUCUGGGCCGAAACUGACGCUGAGGAGCGAAAGCGUGGGGAGCGAACAGG